GCAGGGAAUCUUGCGCAAUGGGCUAAAAGGCCUGACGCAGCGACACCGCGUGGGGGAAGAAGGCUUUCGGGUUGUAAACCCCUUUUCUCGAGGAAGAGUGAGGACGGUACUCGAGGAAUAAGCCUCGGCUAACUACGUGCCAGCAGCCGCGGUAACACGUGGGAGGCGAGCGUUGUCCGGAUUUACUGGGCGUAAAGGGCGAGUAGGCGGCCCGCCAAGUCUCAUGUGAAAUCUCCCGGCUUAACUGGGAGGGGUCAUGGGAAACUGGCGAGCUUGAGGGCAGCAGAGGAAAGUGGAAUUCCCGGAGUAGUGGUGAAAUGCUUAGAUACCGGGAGGAACACCCGUGGCGAAGGCGGCUUUCUGGGCUGUCCCUGACGCUGAGGCGCGAAAGCAUGGGGAGCAAACCGG
This 408-nucleotide ribosomal RNA is filed under the name uncultured bacterium. RNAcentral's name for it is "bacterial SSU rRNA". It matches the Rfam family "Bacterial small subunit ribosomal RNA", at positions 354 to 776 of the family's 1533-position model. The record is from RNAcentral.